CAGUAUAUUGACUGUACAAAGGUAGCAUAAUCAUUAGUCAUUUAAUUGGUGACUUGUAUGAAAGAUUGGAUGAAAUAUAAACUGUCUCUUAUUUAAUUAUAAAAUUUAAUUUUUUUAUUAAAAAGUUAAAAUAAUUUAAAAAGACGAGAAGACCCUAUAGAGUUUAAUUAAUAGUUUAAUUGAGAUUAUAUGUAAAAUAAAUUUAAAAUUAUAUUUAUUAAUUUUAUUGGGGUGAUAGAAAAAUAUAUUUAACUUUUUUUAAAAGAAAACAUUUAUAAUUGAUUAAAUGAUCCAAUAGUAUUGAUUAUAAGAAUAAAUUACCUUAGGGAUAACAGCGUAAUUUUUUUUUUUAGUUCAAAUAAAAAGGAGAGUUUGCGACCUCGAUGU
This 387-nucleotide ribosomal RNA is filed under the name Acrapex zoutoi. RNAcentral's name for it is "partial 16S ribosomal RNA". The record is from RNAcentral. Lineage: Eukaryota; Metazoa; Arthropoda; Insecta; Lepidoptera; Noctuidae.